UUAAACAAAAAACUCAAUCUUUUAAAGCUUUGUGUGAAUCAUGUGACCGAUCCCGAGCCCUUCCUCUUCAGGUCCAGGAUUCUAGUGGAGGGGAAACUGGACUACGGAGAGUAUGUGGACAAGAACCAAGUCAGACGCCAGGCCACCACCAUCAUCGCAGACAACAUCAUCUUCCUCAGCGACAACAUUCGAGACAGACCCUGAAGGACUUUUCUCUUCGUCUCCAAGCAAAAACAAGUCAACUUCUUUUUGUAUUUUCUCAUUUAUACAAAAAUCUGAGGACCUGAACACCACCAAGUAAAGGAACUGACUUACUGAUGAGAAGGGGGACAGAAUAUGCUGUGACACUCUGUGGUCAUGUUUGACUGUGAUGCCUCCUGCAGACCUUAAGGCAUGAAGAGAAGCUGACGGACUUGUGUAGUAUAAAUACACUUGCUCAUUAUGAUUUUUGAUAGUGCUACUUGUACAUAACAGUUGCAAAGAUAGUUUUGGUUUUUUUGCAUAUACCCAAA
This is a long non-coding RNA of Micropterus salmoides (largemouth bass), 512 nucleotides long. RefSeq lists it as uncharacterized. The record is from RefSeq and is a predicted model, not a curated record. NCBI's taxonomy places the organism in Eukaryota, Metazoa, Chordata, Actinopteri, Centrarchiformes, Centrarchidae. The transcript has 2 exons.